RNAcentral lists this ribosomal RNA (452 nucleotides) under uncultured bacterium. RNAcentral's name for it is "bacterial SSU rRNA". It matches the Rfam family "Bacterial small subunit ribosomal RNA", at positions 29 to 524 of the family's 1533-position model. The record is from RNAcentral.
AACGAACGCUGGCGGCAUGCCUAACACAUGCAAGUCGAACGAGACCUUCGGGUCUAGUGGCGCACGGGUGCGUAACGCGUGGGAACCUGCCUUUAGGUUCGGAAUAACUCAGAGAAAUUUGAGCUAAUACCGGAUAAUGUCUUCGGACCAAAGAUUUAUCGCCUUUAGAUGGGCCCGCGUAAGAUUAGCUAGUUGGUGGGGUAAAGGCCUACCAAGGCGACGAUCUUUAGCUGGUCUGAGAGGAUGAUCAGCCACACUGGGACUGAGACACGGCCCAGACUCCUACGGGAGGCAGCAGUGGGGAAUAUUGGACAAUGGGCGAAAGCCUGAUCCAGCAAUGCCGCGUGAGUGAUGAAGGCCUUAGGGGUUGUAAAAGCUCUUUUACCCGAGAUGAUAAUGACAGUAUCGGGAGAAUAAGCUCCGGCUAACUCCGUGCCAGCAGCCGCGGUAAU